GAUGAACGCUGGCUACAGGCUUAACACAUGCAAGUCGUGGGGAAACGGCAUUAUGUGCUUGCACAUUCUGGACGUCGACCGGCGCACGGGUGAGUAUCGCGUAUCCAACCUGCCCCUUACUUGGGGAUACCCCGUUGAAAGACGGCCUAAUACCCGAUGUGUUUCAUUGACGGCAUCCGAUAUGAAACAAAGGUUUUCCGGUAAGGGAUGGGGAUGCGUCUGAUUAGCUAGUUGGCGGGGCAACGGCCCACCAAGGCGACGAUCAGUAGGGGUUCUGAGAGGAAGGUCCCCCACAUUGGAACUGAGACACGGUCCAAACUCCUACGGGAGGCAGCAGUGAGGGAAUAAUUGGUCAAAUGGGAACGGAAAGUCUGAAACCAAGCCAAAGUAAGGCGUGCCAAG
RNAcentral lists this ribosomal RNA (402 nucleotides) under Prevotella nigrescens. RNAcentral describes it as "bacterial SSU rRNA". It matches the Rfam family "Bacterial small subunit ribosomal RNA", at positions 28 to 410 of the family's 1533-position model. Lineage: Bacteria; Pseudomonadati; Bacteroidota; Bacteroidia; Bacteroidales; Prevotellaceae. The record is from RNAcentral.